Molecule: ribosomal RNA, 566 nt
Filed under: uncultured archaeon
Lineage: Archaea
Description: bacterial SSU rRNA
Rfam family: Archaeal small subunit ribosomal RNA
Source: RNAcentral
CGCAAUCGCCCUUCGGGGUGCACCAGGCGCGAAAACUCUACAAUGCAGGCAACUGCGAUAGGGGGACAUCGAGUGGCAUCCACCUUGGGUGCCUGUCCCACCGUCUAAAAAACGGUGGUUAGCAAGGGCCGGGCAAGACCGGUGCCAGCCGCCGCGGUAAUACCGGCGGCUCGAGUGGUGGCCGAUAUUAUUGAGUCUAAAGGGUCCGUAGCCGGCUUUGCAAGUCCCCUGGGAAAUCCAGCGGCUUAACCGUUGGGCUUUCAUGGGAUACUACAUUGCUUGGGACUGGGAGAGGUAGGAGGUACUCGGGGGGUAGGGGUGAAAUCCUGUAAUCCCCCGGGGACCACCGGUGGCGAAGGCGUCCUACCAGAACAGGUCCGACGGUGAGGGACGAAAGCUAGGGGCACGAACCGGAUUAGAUACCCGGGUAGUCCUAGCCGUAAACGAUGCCCGCUAGGUGUCACGGCGGUCGUGAAUCGCCGUGGUGCCGUAGGGAAGCCGCGAAGCGGGCCACUUGGGAAGUACGGCCGCAAGGCUGAAACUUAAAGGAAUUGGCGGGGGAGCAC